Molecule: unclassified non-coding RNA, 205 nt
Filed under: Hevea brasiliensis (rubber tree)
Lineage: Eukaryota; Viridiplantae; Streptophyta; Magnoliopsida; Malpighiales; Euphorbiaceae
Source: RNAcentral
UCAUUAUCUUGAAAUGAUAAACCAUCAAAUUUGUCCGUAAAAUGGUCUUCAUACUGCUUCCGCACUUUAGAGAGUAGCUCCACAUCAACGUGUAGAACAUAUAAUAAGGGAGCCAAAAGUUCAUGCAUUCCUUGUCUAUAACCAUACUCAGGAUGUCUAAGGCACCACAAUAACAAAAUUCUUCUUAACAUUCCCUGACAUCCAG